This 446-nucleotide ribosomal RNA is filed under the name uncultured bacterium. RNAcentral describes it as "bacterial SSU rRNA". It matches the Rfam family "Bacterial small subunit ribosomal RNA", at positions 331 to 792 of the family's 1533-position model. The record is from RNAcentral.
CCAGACUCCUACGGGAGGCAGCAGUGGGGGAUAUUGCACAAUGGGGGAAACCCUGAUGCAGCGACGCCGCGUGGGCGAAGAAGUAUUUCGGUAUGUAAAGCCCUAUCAGCAGGGAAGAAGAAAUGACGGUACCUGAAGAAGAAGCCCCGGCUAACUACGUGCCAGCAGCCGCGGUAAUACGUAGGGGGCAAGCGUUAUCCGGAUUUACUGGGUGUAAAGGGGGCGCAGACGGCAAUGCAAGCCAGGAGUGAAAGCCCGGGGCCCAACCCCGGGACUGCUCUUGGAACUGCAUGGCUGGAGUACAGGAGGGGCAGGCGGAAUUCCUAGUGUAGCGGUGAAAUGCGUAGAUAUUAGGAGGAACACCGGUGGCGAAGGCGGCCUGCUGGACUGUGACUGACGUUGAGGCCCGAAGGCGUGGGGAGCAAACGGGAUUAGAUACCCGAGUA